Molecule: small RNA, 174 nt
Filed under: Marmota monax (woodchuck)
Lineage: Eukaryota; Metazoa; Chordata; Mammalia; Rodentia; Sciuridae
Source: RNAcentral
UGAGAAUGUUGGAAUCCAGUGCAAAUUCAGUUUUCAGGUUUGUAGAAGAUUCUUAAGAUUUGUAAGUAGUAAAAUGGCAAAUAGGAGUUAAUGGUAGAAGAUUGUGUAUGUGUGUGUGUGCGCGCGCGUGCUUGCGUGUGCACAUGCACUAUAUACUUGGAUAAGGAUCCUCAG